CCUACGGGAGGCAGCAGUGGGGAAUAUUGGGCAAUGGGCGCAAGCCUGACCCAGCAACGCCGCGUGAAGGAAGAAGGCUUUCGGGUUGUAAACUUCUUUUAAGAGGGAAGAGCAGAAGACGGUACCUCUUGAAUAAGCCACGGCUAACUACGUGCCAGCAGCCGCGGUAAGACGUAGGUGGCAAGCGUUGUCCGGAUUUACUGGGUGAAAAGGGCGUGCAGCCGGGAAGACAAGUCAGAUGUGAAAUCCCGCGGCUCAACCGCGGAACUGCAUUUGAAACUGUUUUUCUUGAGUACCGGAGAGGUCAUCGGAAUUCCUGGUGUAGCGGGGAAAUGGGUAGAUAUAAGGAAGAAAACCGGUGGCGAAGGCGGAUGACUGGACGGCAACUGACGGUGAGGAGCGAGAGCGUGGGGAGGAAACAGGAUUAGAUCCCCAGUAGUC
Molecule: ribosomal RNA, 441 nt
Filed under: uncultured bacterium
Lineage: Bacteria
Description: partial 16S ribosomal RNA
Rfam family: Bacterial small subunit ribosomal RNA
Source: RNAcentral